This 332-nucleotide unclassified non-coding RNA is filed under the name soil metagenome. RNAcentral's name for it is "partial contains 5.8S ribosomal RNA, internal transcribed spacer 2, and large subunit ribosomal RNA". The stretch from base 1 to 120 matches the Rfam family "5.8S ribosomal RNA", at positions 35 to 154 of the family's 154-position model. The record is from RNAcentral.
GAUGAAGAACGUAGCAAAAUGCGAUAAGUAAUGUGAAUUGCAGAAUUCAGUGUAUCAUCGAAUCUUUGAACGCACAUUGCGCCCGCCAGUAUUCUGGCGGGCAUGCCUGUUCGAGCGUCAUUUCAACCCUCAAGCACAGCUUGGUGUUGGGACUCGCGUUAAUUCGCGUUCCCCAAAUUGAUUGGCGGUCACGUCGAGCUUCCAUAGCGUAGUAGUAAAACCCUCGUUACUGGUAAUCGUCGCGGCCACGCCGUUAAACCCCAACUUCUGAAUGUUGACCUCGGAUCAGGUAGGAAUACCCGCUGAACUUAAGCAUAUCAAUAAGCGGAGGA